AACGAACGCUGGCGGUAUGCUUAACACAUGCAAGUCGAACGAACAAAAUUGGGGCUUGCUCCAAUUUUAGUGAGUGGCAAACGGGUGAGUAACACGUGGGAAUCUACCUAUCAGUACGGAAUAACAUUUGGAAACAGAUGCUAAUACCGUAUAUUCUCCAAGGAGGAAAGAUUUAUCGCUGAUAGAUGAGCCCGCGUAAGAUUAGGUAGUUGGUAGGGUAAUAGCCUACCAAGCCGACGAUCUUUAGCUGGUCUAAGAGGAUGAUCAGCCACACUGGGACUGAGACACGGCCCAGACUCCUACGGGAGGCAGCAGUGGGGAAUAUUGGACAAUGGGCGAAAGCCUGAUCCAGCAAUACCGCGUGAAUGAUGAAGGCCUUAGGGUGUAAAGUUCUUUAGUUGGAAAGAUAAUGACGGUACCAACAG
This 425-nucleotide ribosomal RNA is filed under the name uncultured bacterium. RNAcentral describes it as "bacterial SSU rRNA". It matches the Rfam family "Bacterial small subunit ribosomal RNA", at positions 29 to 484 of the family's 1533-position model. The record is from RNAcentral.